CUGCAUAUACCGCUUACAAAUAACGUUCCCUUAUUUCAAAGUUUGAAUCUUUCUCUCAUUUGUUCCGUUAGUUCAUUGAAAAAAGCUCUAGACUUUAAUUAAGACAAGAUAGGAUUUUGAUUAUUCAAACAUAACCAACAGAGACGGAAAGAAAUCUGAAGCUCUUCUUUAAAUUUUGGUUUAGACUUUUAGAACAUUUGGAGGUGAUAUUACGACAAGUCUAUGUCAAAGUAGUUCCUAUGUUAAAGACAAUGAGUUAAUUUCUGUCGGGGGUGUUUUGCUGUCUCUCCUACCACCACCUCGUUCACCUUUAAUGAUGGACUAACUAAUAGUAGUUCGGUGCAACGUGACAAGAGGAGAAAAAAAAAGAGAGUCGAUCUUGGAAUUUUACUCUCUUAUUCUUCUUCUAGGAAACUCUGUUCAGAGGAAGAACAAUGGGGAUCGUCUCGGAACAAGCCGUUGAUGAAUUCCAGGAGCUCAUAGAUAAAGUUGAGGAGCCAUUGAAGACAACAUUUAAGAAUGUCCAUCAGGGAUACCUGAGGGAGACUUUGAUUCGUUUUCUAAAAGCACGAGAUUGGAACGUAAUUAAAGCUCAUACAAUGCUGGUUGAGUGUUUGCGUUGGAGGGUGGAUAAUCAAAUUGACAGUAUCUUAUCCAAACCUAUUGUUCCUAGUGAGCUGUACAGGGACGUACGUGAUUCUCAGCUCAUAGGAAUGUCAGGUUACACCAGAGAGGGCUUGCCUGUGUUUGCUAUUGGUGUUGGCCUCAGCACAUUCGACAAAGCUUCUGUUCACUACUAUGUCCAAUCACACAUCCAAAUCAAUGAAUACAGAGACCGUGUACUACUGCCGUCUGUAUCUAAGAAGAAUGGGGGGCCAAUCACCACCUGCGUCAAGGUUCUAGACAUGACAGGGUUGAAACUUUCAGCCCUCAGCCAAAUUAAGUUAGUGACGAUCAUAUCAACCAUUGAUGAUCUGAACUAUCCAGAGAAGACAAACACAUACUAUGUUGUGAACGCUCCAUAUAUAUUUUCCGCCUGUUGGAAGGUUGUAAAACCUCUUUUACAAGAGAGGACGAGGAAAAAAGUUCAUGUGUUAUCCGGUUGCGGAAAGGCUGAGUUAUUGAAGAUUAUGGACUACACAUCACUCCCACAUUUCUGUAGAAGAGGAAGCUCUGGGUCAUCUCACCAUACUCAGAGUGUAGAUUGUUUUUCUAUCGAUCAUCCUUUCCAUCAACAGCUAUACAACUAUGUCAAGCACCAUUAUGAGACCCAGGGGCAAGCUGAGCCUGCAAAGCAAGGUUCUUUCCACGUGGGUUUUCCUGAGCCUGUAGCUGAACGUGUUGAGAUGGCUAAAACCAUAGAAUCAAAACUGCACAAGUUCGAGAACUGCAAUGAUCUGAGCAAGCCGGUUGAUGACAGAAAAGCCAGUCCAUGAGAACUUGGAAGAUGAUGAACCCUGAAUGCUUCUGAGGGGAUUCCUUUCAGUGGGUUCACAAUUAAAUCUUACCGAAUUAGUUAUUUGUUCGGUUCAGUAUUCACAGUUAGUUUGGUUUUCAAAGAUCCUACCCAAGUUUUUAAUUUCAGUUAUAUUUUGGUUUAGUUUUAAUAAAAUUUUGGAUAUAUUUCGGUUUGAAAUUUGAUUGGUUCAAUUUGUGUUUCUGGUA
Molecule: RNA transcript, 1665 nt
Organism: Brassica oleracea var. oleracea
Lineage: Eukaryota; Viridiplantae; Streptophyta; Magnoliopsida; Brassicales; Brassicaceae
Gene name: SEC14 cytosolic factor-like
Exons: 12
Source: RefSeq, a predicted model, not a curated record